CAGAGACUGCAAGCGUUAUUCGGAUUCACUGGGCGUAAAGGGUGCGCAGGCGGCCAAGUGUGUGAGGCGUGAAAGCCCGGGGCUUAACCCCGGAAUUGCACCUCAAACUACAUGGCUAGAGCAUUGGAGAGGGUAGCGGAAUUCACGGUGUAGCAGUGAAAUGCGUAGAUAUCGUGAGGAACACCAGAGGCGAAGGCGGCUACCUGGACAAUUGCUGACGCUCAGGCACGAAAGCGUGGGGAGCAAAAGGGAUUAGAUACCCCUGUAGUCCACGCCCUAAACGGUGCACACUAGGUCUUGGCGGAUUCGACCCCACCAGGGCCCCAGCUAACGCGUUAAGUGUGCCGCCUGAGGACUACGGCCGCAAGGCUA
Molecule: ribosomal RNA, 372 nt
Filed under: uncultured organism
Description: bacterial SSU rRNA
Rfam family: Bacterial small subunit ribosomal RNA
Source: RNAcentral